CUCACCCACCCCAGGGUCCUGAGAGGCUUGUGGAGUCGGCCCCCCGUCUCCUGUGGGGUCCUCCGAAGGUGCACACAGCCUGCUCCAAGCAGAGUCUCCGGGGGGAUGUCCAGGCACCCUCAGCCGCCCACAAUGGGCUUGUUUUCUGCUCAAGAUUCCCCAGACCUUCAGACCGUGCUUUUCCCCACCUGUCCCCAGUGUGCAGAGUCUUCAGGACCUGACACCACCCUGUUGGGACUGGGGAUCAGACACAGCCCCUGGCCUGCUGUGAGGGACCGCAGGCCAGGGAAGCCCUCUUCAGUGGUCAUCUCUCCACCAGGAUCUGGGUACCUCCCCCAGGAUGCUUCUGGCGCCUCUGCUGGUUUUGCCAAGAGCAGGACCCUCCUCACCUGUGGCCCCCGGACUCUGACACCCGAGGCCCCAGGGCCUCGGCUUGUCCUGGACCAUCUGGAUGCCACCCUCCCCCGCCUGUCCUGAUGCUGGGGGCAAGAGGGGAAGGAACAGGCCGGGGAAGACCUGUGGCCCUUCCCUCCCGUCCUCCCCUCUCCUGGGAACAAGAAAACAUUCCCCAACUGAGAAGUCAACUGGGCUCAAAAAUUGGUUUUCUCCUGAAAUCAUGGCCUUUGGAUGAGCAAGCAUAGCUGAAUCAGAAAAGCUGCGGGCUGAAGUCCAGCAGGUCCCAGGAUCUCGGGCAGCAGUGGAUCCCCCUUCCUUGGGAAAUUCGGAAGUCAGGCAGACAGAGCUGAAUCACUGCUCAGCAUGGAGGGAGGGGCAGGCGCGACCCUCCAGGAAGCCCCAUCCCCGCCCCGCCACCCCUCACAGGCUCGUGCAGUACCCGGAACCUCCAGGCCUGGCCCUCCCUGUGUCAGGGCUGGGGUGGGGGGCCCCCCAGCCCCUGGGGCUGUGGAACCAUCCUUGGGCUGUGGCCUGAGGGAGGCUGUGAAAACAGGCAACACAGCACCCACCUUCCUGGCUGUGUGACCUUUCUGUUUCCUUACCUGAGAAAAAUAGUUGUUGCCCUGUACUUAGCUCCAUCUGUGAAUGAAAGACUGCCUGCGUGUGGGCUGUGGAGGCGUCAGCUGUGAUGCUCUUUAGUCUUUGACCCGGUGGAAUUUAUUUUGCUGGGAGAGGUGAGGAAUGGGUCCAGUCCGUCCUGGAGGACCACUGGGACACCCAGCAACACUGAGCUCCCCAUGGGUGGAGUCUCCCCGGCUUUCUGCUCUGUUCACCUGCUGCAUCACGCUAUCUGGCGGCGGUGGUUUUAUGACCUGCUGCAUCCGGCAGGACUAAACCUCUCGUUGCUUCUCUCUCGUUUCUUGUUUAUUUUCCAUGUAGACGUCAGGAUAGCUUGCUUGCUUCUACAGAAAUCCGUUGCUGUUUUUACUGGAUUUCAUGACAUUUAUGGUUGACCAAAGAGGCAUCUGACGCCAUCUCAUCCCAGUGUCAGGCAGGACUGGGGGCUCACAACGCCUUCCCACAAGCUCCAACUUGGGCUUCCCGGGUGUCUGCCCAUGG
Molecule: long non-coding RNA, 1515 nt
Organism: Aethalodelphis obliquidens (Pacific white-sided dolphin)
Lineage: Eukaryota; Metazoa; Chordata; Mammalia; Artiodactyla; Delphinidae
Exons: 2
Source: RefSeq, a predicted model, not a curated record